RNAcentral lists this ribosomal RNA (270 nucleotides) under unidentified marine bacterioplankton. RNAcentral describes it as "partial 16S ribosomal RNA". It matches the Rfam family "Bacterial small subunit ribosomal RNA", at positions 72 to 339 of the family's 1533-position model. The record is from RNAcentral.
AUGUUAGCUUGCUAACAGGCGUCGAGUGACGGACGGGUGAGUAACGCGUGGGAAUCUACCAAAUAGGCGGGGAUAGCCCGGAGAAAUCCGGAAUUAAUACCGCAUAAUCUCUACGGAAGUAAAGGGGGCCUCUAUUUAUAAGCUUUCACUAUUUGAUGAGCCUGCGUAAGAUUAGCUUGUUGGUGAGGUAAAAGCUCACCAAGGCGACGAUCUUUAGCUGGUCUGAGAGGAUGAUCAGCCACACUGGGACUGAGACACGGCCCAGACUCC